This 24-nucleotide non-coding RNA is filed under the name Mus musculus (house mouse). Lineage: Eukaryota; Metazoa; Chordata; Mammalia; Rodentia; Muridae. RNAcentral also lists the same sequence under 1 other name. The record is from RNAcentral.
UAAUGGAGAUAUUUCAAUCUUGGC